GUGGUACCUCUCCAGAGAGCUGUGUGCCGUGCUAUCCUGGGUGUUUCUGUGCUAGCAUUGGUUUGAGUUCUCCAACAGGACCUUGUACUGAGGGAUUUUACUGCCCAGCAAACUUCAGCUCCUUCAGCCCCACAGCAUUUCUCUGCCCUAAGGGUCACUUCUGCCGGUCAGGAGCAGCCCACCCAACACCAUGCCCUGCUGGGGAAUACCAGCCAGCCAGGGGCUCUGCAUCCUGUAUUCCAUGCCAGAGGGGAUUCUACUGCCAGGAGAUGGUGGCUGGAGACCCCAAGAGCUGCCCACCACAUAUGUACUGUCCUACAGGCACACAGUUUCCUCAGACAUGUCCUGAAGGCACCUUUACUCUUCCAAAUAUGACUGGCCUCUGGAAUGAGAAGCAAUGCCUGCCUUGCUUACCUGGUCACUACUGCAGGUAAUGACCAUUUGUUUCUGAUGGUUUUUUCCUCAGCUUCCUAAGCAGCUCAACAUCCUUGUUUUGUGCUGAUCAGUCAACACCAAAUUUCUUUCUCUCUCUGCUCCAGGCAUGGACAGCUAGUGGGGAAAUGUGCUGCUGGAUACUUCUGUCUUGCUGGGAGCUCCCAGCCUACUCCACAGGGCCCUGGCUUUUCCUGGCGCUUUCUGUCUGGAUGCCAAUGGGGUCAGGCAUGUGCUGGGCUGUGUCCUGCAGGUGAGAAUGUUUGGAAGUGUCAUCACAGCAUGUAGAGAGUUGCUUCUAACCAAGUAGAGAACAUCUGUGAUCCUACAUAAUAUAUUACGAUACCCACUUAGAGGUUGUCAUGCUCAUUGGCGUUGUCUUCUUUAGUCAAAAGAUGUAAAAGAAGCUUGCUCAAUGAAAUAUGCCACCUUAAAUUUGUGGUGCCAGGCUGCUGGUCCAGAAAUGUCUGAAGGCUGUUGAUUUGGUUGUUGAAUCCCAGCAGCUGUGUAGAUGUUAAUCCUAUGACAGGAGAUGCUUCUUGAAUCAUUUUUUUCCCCCCCCACUAGAAGGCUUCUCUGUUUUACUUUCAUCCCUUCCCCAUCUAUUUCUGCAGGUUUCUACUGCCUGGAGGGCUCUGAGUUACCUAUACCAUGUCCUGCCAAUACUAUUAGGGAUGUUCCAGGGGCUGGGAAGAAGGAAGACUGCCUGCCCUGUCCACCAGGCCACUGGUGCAAAGCAGGAGACUCAGAGGCCACUCCGUGUCCCUCAGGGCACUAUUGCUUUGGAAGUAAUGGCAGUGACCAAGACGGUCUGUUGGCACCUCAGAAAUGCCCUCCCCAUACUUACCGCAAGCUCCCAGGAGCUCAGAGCCUGACGGAUUGCCAGCCAUGUCCUCCAGGCUAUCACUGUCCUCUAUCAGGUCUAACCAGUUUUGAGGAUUAUCCAUGCCCAUUGGGAUACUGGUGUCCUGGUACAGGGGAUGCUUUCUUUUGUCCACCUGGCACUUCCAGGGUCCAGCCUGGUGCAAAAUCAUUGGAAGAGUGUGAUCCCUGCUCAGCUGGCUACUAUUGCCCAGACCCAGCACAGACAGGGCUACCUAACACCCAAGGAGUACCUUGUGAGCCUGGCUAUGAGUGCCCAGCAGGUUCAGUCAAUCCAAAGCCUUGCAGGCCUGGCUCAUACUGCAGUGCUCUCACAGCUGUGCCCACAGUGUGCCCUGCUGGGUAUUACUGUCCUGAAGGCUCAUCAACAUACAAUAGCCCUGAGCAGCUAUGUGUGUUCCCCUAUUACUGUCCCCUGGGCAGUGCCCACCCGCUGCCCUGUGAAGGAGGAUACAUGGCCCUCAGCUCACCUGGGCUAAGAGAUUCCUUUGAGAAGUUCUGCAGGAUCUGUGAUGCAGGCAGUUAUCAUAACGACUCUUUCAUCUCUGCUCCCUGUCAGCCCUGCCCAGCAGGCUUCAUCUGCCCACAAGGCAGUGAGACUUACCACAAGAAGCCUUGUCCCAUUGGCUAUUACUGCCCUCCCCUGGCAUCUGCCCCUGUUCCCUGUCCCCCGGGGACCCAUGGGAGCAAUAGCUUGGCCAAGCAUAUAGAGGAUUGUCAGGCCUGUCCUGCUGGCACCUUCAAUCACCUUCCUGCUCAGGUUGCCUGCUUUCCCUGUGGCAGCUCCUCUUCAUCACAGCCAGGUGCUACCAGCUGUACCUGCCAUGGGCUGAACCGGGCUUUCCAGCACUCAGAUGCCUCCUGUAUCUGCCAGGCAGGUUAUAUUUACUAUGAUGAGCGAGGCAAGGAAAACUCUGACAGCAACAGUGACCAGGACUGCCGACCUCAGGUGGACGAGCUCUGUGCUCCUGGAGAGGUCCGUUUAGCAUCGACACGCCGGUGUGUUUUUCCUGAGCAAUAUGACUGCUCUCCAUCUUGUGGGCCUGCGGGUGGAGAGGUUAAUGCAGAGCUGGGCAUAUGUCACUGCAAGCAGUACGUCUCUGCUGAGGAGCUCUGUGACCAAAUGUGUUUGCUGAGAGCCCCACGGAUCUCUUUGGGAUUUGGCAUCAAGAGAGAGCUGCUGCUGAGGAUGGACGAGGGAGUCAGGGAAGUGACAAAUGUUCUGGGCCCGGAUGAACAUGUACAGAAGAGCCAGAGGGUGCAUUUGGCUCUGUUUAAUCCCAGUGGAGUGUUAGGUUUUGUCGUCUCCAGCGUGGAUGUCUUGGAUGCAUUUCUCUUAGGAGAUUUUUCAUCAGAUCAGUUGGUGCAGAAAAGUCAUCGAGUCCAGAGGGCUUCCUUGAAAGAUAUGCCCACCUUGCCCCUCGUCCCUAACCCAGUGGUAUGUUUGGAAGCAGGAGACACGAUCCUUUUCCAGCUUAGCAUCAAUUCUCACAAUCGUGCAUCCAGCCACUAUCCUGUUUAUCAGAAGCAACAUCUUUAUAACAGCAACCCUAGCUGGGAUUAUGGACCCUUCCGAAGGCUGGACCACCUCAUCCAGGAGACUCAGCUCAACAUCUCCUGGUAA
Coturnix japonica (Japanese quail) is the source of this 2938-nucleotide long non-coding RNA. Lineage: Eukaryota; Metazoa; Chordata; Aves; Galliformes; Phasianidae. The record is from Ensembl.